Molecule: ribosomal RNA, 253 nt
Filed under: uncultured bacterium
Lineage: Bacteria
Description: partial 16S ribosomal RNA
Rfam family: Bacterial small subunit ribosomal RNA
Source: RNAcentral
UACAGAGGUCCCGAGCGUUGUUCGGAUUCACUGGGCGUAAAGGGUGCGCAGGUGGGCUGGUAAGUUCGAUGUGAAAGCCCCGGGCUUAACCCGGGAAAGGCAUUGGAUACUACUGGUCUGGAGGAUUGGAGGGGGGACUGGAAUUCUUGGUGUAGCAGUGAAAUGCGUAGAUAUCAAGAGGAACACCAGUGGCGAAGGCGAGUCCCUGGACAAUUCCUGACACUGAGGCACGAAAGCCAAGGGAGCAAACAGG